This 497-nucleotide ribosomal RNA is filed under the name uncultured bacterium. RNAcentral's name for it is "partial 16S ribosomal RNA". It matches the Rfam family "Bacterial small subunit ribosomal RNA", at positions 28 to 507 of the family's 1533-position model. The record is from RNAcentral.
GAUGAACGCUGGCGGCGUGCCUAAUACAUGCAAGUCGAGCGAACAGAUGAGGAGCUUGCUCCUCUGACGUUAGCGGCGGACGGGCGAGUAACACGUGGAUAACCUACCUAUAAGACUGGGAUAACUUCGGGAAACCGGAGCUAAUACCGGAUAAUAUAUUGAACCGCAUGGUUCAAUAGUGAAAGACGGUUUUGCUGUCACUUAUAGAUGGAUCCGCGCCGCAUUAGCUAGUUGGUAAGGUAACGGCUUACCAAGGCAACGAUGCGUAGCCGACCUGAGAGGGUGAUCGGCCACACUGGAACUGAGACACGGUCCAGACUCCUACGGGAGGCAGCAGUAGGGAAUCUUCCGCAAUGGGCGAAAGCCUGACGGAGCAACGCCGCGUGAGUGAUGAAGGUCUUCGGAUCGUAAAACUCUGUUAUUAGGGAAGAACAAAUGUGUAAGUAACUAUGCACGUCUUGACGGUACCUAAUCAGAAAGCCACGGCUAACUACGUG